RNAcentral lists this ribosomal RNA (423 nucleotides) under Triticum aestivum (bread wheat). RNAcentral's name for it is "partial small subunit ribosomal RNA". The record is from RNAcentral. Lineage: Eukaryota; Viridiplantae; Streptophyta; Magnoliopsida; Poales; Poaceae.
AUGGCUAGUCAUGCCAUUUGGACUCUCAAAUGCACCAAGUACCUUUAUGUACUUAUGAAUCAAGUCCUUCGACCCUUCUUAUCCCACUUUGUUGUGGUCUACUUCGAUGACAUCUUGAUCUAUAGCAAGGAUGAGGAUGAACACUUUGAUCACAUUCGGAAGGUGCUAGAAGUACUAAGGGAAAGUGAGCUCUAUGUCAACUUGAAGAAAUGUGUUCUCCUACAAAUACAACUUCUCUUCCUAGGAUUCGUCAUAACAUGUGACGGCAUUCGUGUUGAUGAUUCUAAGGUUGAAGCAAUCCGAGAAUGGCCAACUCCGAAGACCAUUUCUGAGGUAAGAAGCUUUCUUGGCCUUGCAACUUUCUAUAGGCGAUUUGUGAAGAAUUUCAGCACUAUCAUGGCACCAAUUACCGAGUGUAUUUGA